UACGGAGGGUGCAAGCGUCGUUCGGAAUUACUGGGCGUAAAGCGCGUGUAGGCGGCCAGGUAAGUCGGAUGUGAAAGCCCGGGGCCCAACCCCGGAACUGCACCCGAUACUGCCUGGCUGGAGUCCCGGAGAGGAUGGCGGAAUUUCUGGUGUAGAGGUGAAAUUCGUAGAUAUCGGAAGGAACACCAGUGGCGAAGGCGGCCAUCUGGACGGUGACUGACGCUGAGACGCGAAAGCGUGGGGAGCAAACAGG
This 253-nucleotide ribosomal RNA is filed under the name uncultured bacterium. RNAcentral's name for it is "partial 16S ribosomal RNA". It matches the Rfam family "Bacterial small subunit ribosomal RNA", at positions 524 to 776 of the family's 1533-position model. The record is from RNAcentral.